GCUCAAGUUUAUAAGGGCACACGGUGGAUGCCUUGGCACCAGGAACCGAAGAAGGACGUAGGAAUCUGCGAUAAGCCUCGGGGAGUCGAUAACCAGACUUUGAUCCGAGGAUUUCCGAAUGGGGAAACCCGGCUGGAGGCAAGUCCAGUCACUCCCAGCUGAACACAUAGGCUGGGUAGAGGGAACGUGGGGAAGUGAAACAUCUCAGUACCCACAGGAAGAGAAAGCAACCGCGAUUCCGUGAGUAGUGGCGAGCGAAAGCGGAAGAGGCCAAACCGAUCAUGUGUGAUAGCUGUCAGGCGUUGCAUGGUCGGUGUUGUGGGACCUCUCGGUCGGCUCUGACAGGCCGGCAAGGAGUCAGAAACGCGCGUCAUAGUCGAAGGACAUUGAAUGGUCCGGCACAGAGGGUGCCACCCCCGUAGACGAAAUGACGCGCACUCCUGAGGGUCAUCCCAAGUAGCACGGGGCCCGAGAAAUCCUGUGCGAAUCUGGCGGGACCACCCGCUAAGCCUAAAUAUUCCCUGGUGACCGAUAGCGGACAAGUACCGUGAGGGAAAGGUGAAAAGUACCCCGGGAGGGGAGUGAAAUAGAUCCUGAAACCGUGUGCCUACAAUCCGUCGGAGCCUCCUUGUGGGGUGACGGCGUGCCUUUUGAAGAAUGAGCCUGCGAGUUAGUGCUCAGUGGCAAGGUUAACCCGUGUGGGGAAGCCGUAGCGAAAGCGAGUCCGAACAGGGCGAAUGAGUCGCUGGGUCUAGACCCGAAGCGGAGUGAUCUACCCAUGGCCAGGUUGAAGCGACGGUAAGACGUCGUGGAGGACCGAACCCACUUAGGUUGAAAACUGAGGGGAUGAGCUGUGGGUAGGGGUGAAAGGCCAAUCAAACUCCGUGAUAGCUGGUUCUCCCCGAAAUGCAUUUAGGUGCAGCGUCACGUGUUUCUUACCGGAGGUAGAGCUACUGGAUAGCCGAUGGGCCUCACCAGGUUACUGACGUUAGCCAAACUCCGAAUGCCGGUAAGUGAGAACGUGGCAGUGAGACUAUGGGGGAUAAGCUCCAUUGUCGAGAGGGAAACAGCCCAGAUCACCAGCUAAGGUCCCUAAGCGUGUGCUAAGUGGAAAAGGAUGUGGAGUUGCAGUGACAACCAGGAGGUUGGCUUAGAAGCAGCCACCCUUUAAAGAGUGCGUAAUAGCCCACUGGUCAAGUGAUUCCGCGCCGACAAUGUAGCGGGGCUCAAGCACACCACCGAAGCUGUGGCAUUGACACACUGCCUGGCAUUUAUGUCCAAGCGUGUUGAUGGGUAGGGGAGCGUCGUGUGGCGAGCGAAGCGACGGUGUGAACCAGUCGUGGAUGCCACACGAGUGAGAAUGCAGGCAUGAGUAGCGAAUGACGGGUGAGAAACCCGUCCGCCGAAUAACCAAGGGUUCCAGGGUCAAGCUAAUCUGCCCUGGGUAAGUCGGGACCUAAGGCGAGGCCGACAGGCGUAGUCGAUGGACAUCCGGUUGAUAUUCCGGAACCGGCGAAGAACCGCCCAUGGCGAAUCUAGUGAUGCUAAGCGCCUGAAGCGCUCUCAAGGGACUUCGGUCCCAUUGAGCGUGGAACGCGCGACCCGAUCUAGUAGUAGCCAAGCAAUGGGGAGACGCAGGAAGGUAGCCUCCGCGUGGCGAUGGUUGUCCACGUCUAAAGGUGUAGGGAGUCAGGUAGGCAAAUCCGCCUGACAUGUUCCUGAGACCUGAUAGUGACCGCACAAGCGGGAAGCAGGGUGAUCCUAUGCUGCCGAGAAAAUCCUCUAGCGAGGUUCUAGCCGCCCGUACCCCAAACCGACUCAGGUGGUUAGGUAGAGAAUACCAAGGCGAUCGAGUGAAUCGUGGUUAAGGAAUUCGGCAAAAUGCCCCCGUAACUUCGGGAGAAGGGGGGCCCGGAUUCUGAAGUCUUUUACGGACUAGGAUGAUGGGCCGCAGAGACCAGGGAGAAGCGACUGUUUACUAAAAACACAGGUCCGUGCGAAGUCGCAAGACGAUGUAUACGGACUGACGCCUGCCCGGUGCUGGAAGGUUAAGAGGAAGGGUUAGGUCUUCGGGCCGAAGCUCAGAAUUUAAGCCCCAGUAAACGGCGGUGGUAACUAUAACCAUCCUAAGGUAGCGAAAUUCCUUGUCGGGUAAGUUCCGACCUGCACGAAUGGCGUAACGACUUCUCCACUGUCUCAACCGCGAACUCGGCGAAAUUGCACUACGAGUAAAGAUGCUCGUUACGCGCAGAAGGACGGAAAGACCCCGGGACCUUCACUAUAGCUUGUUAUUGGUGAUCGGGACGGCUUGUGUAGGAUAGGUGGGAGACGUUGAAGCGGACACGCCAGUGUUCGUGGAGUCAUCGUUGAAAUACCACUCUGGUCGUUUUGGUCAUCUAACCUCGGUCCGUGAUCCGGAUCAGGGACAGUGACUGGUGGGUAGUUUAACUGGGGCGGUUGCCUCCUAAAAUGUAACGGAGGCGCUCAAAGGUUCCCUCAGCCUGGUUGGCAAUCAGGUGGCGAGUGUAAGUACACAAGGGAGCUUGACUGCGAGACAGACAUGUCGAGCAGGGACGAAAGUCGGAACUAGUGACCCGACGGUGGCUUGUGGAAGCGCCGUCGCUCAACGGAUAAAAGGUACCCCGGGGAUAACAGGCUGAUCUUCCCCAAGAGUCCAUAUCGACGGGAUGGUUUGGCACCUCGAUGUCGGCUCGUCGCAUCCUGGGGGUGGAGUCUCUCCCAAGGGUUGGGCUGUUCGCCCAUUAAAGCGGCACGCGAGCUGGGUUUAGAACGUCGUGAGACAGUUCGGUCCCUAUCCUCUGUGCGCGUAGGAAACUUGAGAGAGGCUGACCCUAGUACGAGAGGACCGGGUUGGACGAACCUCUGGUGUGUGAGUUGUUCUGCCAAGGGCACCGCUCAUUAGCUACGUUCGGAAGUGAUAACCGCUGAAAGCAUCUAAGCGGGAAGCACGUCUCAAGAUGAGGUUUCCAUGGAGCUUGCUCCGAGAGGCUCCCAGUAGACUACUGGGUUGAUAGGCCAGAUGUGGAAGUGCAGCAAUGCAUGUAGCUGACUGGUACUAAUAAGCCGAUAACUUGAUACA
RNAcentral lists this ribosomal RNA (3100 nucleotides) under Janibacter alkaliphilus. Its description in RNAcentral is "Janibacter sp. SCSIO 10480 Bacterial large subunit ribosomal RNA". It matches the Rfam family "Bacterial large subunit ribosomal RNA". The record is from Rfam by way of RNAcentral. Lineage: Bacteria; Bacillati; Actinomycetota; Actinomycetes; Micrococcales; Intrasporangiaceae.